AAAAGGUCUGACAGAUACCCAAUCACUGUUUAACUGUUUUGACUGUUUUCAAGUAUGGCCAUCACUUUUUAAAAUGUUGCCACUUCAUGCUUGCCGAUACAGUCCAGCCGUCCAGUUAUUCCAUGAAACUGAAGCUCAGCACAACAGGAUUAGGUCACCAGCAAAGGUGUUGUCCAAAAGCAGCAAUAAAGAUGAACAGGGACAUUGUGUCUGGUAUGGUACCUGCAGAGUCUGUGAAUAAUACGCUUUCAAUUAUGCUUACUCAGGCAAAGCUAUGCCACUAGCAGACACUUAUCAUGUCAUGUCACACUCCUUUUCAGUGUGUCCGAACUAUUUGGUAAGUUCUGGUCCUGGAGAAGAACCCCAUUUUUUGCGGUGAUUCGAAGAAAAUCAACAAUUUGAUUAUCAACUUUGGGCAGGCCCUUAAUUUGGUGGGACGAUGCUCGAUUUGCCACAACUUGUGGAUGAUCUUUUGUAGCAUAACCUGCCAUAUGUUCGCAGUCGAAUCCUCUCCUACAACUUGACAUCAGAGCACUCAUAACUCCUGAAUCGGUUACAAAUUCUAUUGAAGUCGUCAAAGUGCUGGAAUAUUGAAUCUCCGAUACUUAUGUAUGACUGAAAUGUACGAUUCGUGUAAGGAAGUUACAAAUCCAUCUUCAAACUGCUUCAAACAACCUUGAUAUGCAGACUAUUUGUGGCCAGUGGGGCGAGGAUUGCUCUCCUCAGAGAUUGUUAGAUUUCAUGGGACUUGGCAUGGCCAAUCAAGGAUUCUCUACUUCCAGUACAUUCCUGACGGAGAGACUGUCACCGAUGUUGUCGAACUUUCUGCUCCUCCAGCUAUAUCCCCUUGCUACGAAGCU
Long non-coding RNA from Daphnia pulicaria, 860 nucleotides. RefSeq lists it as uncharacterized. NCBI's taxonomy places the organism in Eukaryota, Metazoa, Arthropoda, Branchiopoda, Diplostraca, Daphniidae. The transcript has 4 exons. The record is from RefSeq and is a predicted model, not a curated record.